ACGGGGCGCAGCAGGCGCGAAACCUUUUCAAUGCGCGCAAGCGUGAGAAGGGAAUUCCAAGUGCUCAAGUUUUACUUGGGCUUUUGCUAAGUGUAAAAAGCUUGGCGAAUAAGGGGUGGGCAAGACUGGUGCCAGCCGCCGCGGUAACACCAGCGCCUCGAGUGGGGAUCGCGAUUAUUGGGUCUAAAGCGUUCGUAGCAGGCUUUGUAAAUGCUUUGUGAAAUCGGCAGGCUUAACCUGUCGGCGUGCAGAGUAGACUGCAAAGCUCGAGACCGGGAGAGGUUAGCAGUAUUCCUAGGGUACCGGUAAAAUGGGUUAAUCCUAGGAGGACUACCAAUGGCGAAGGCAGCUAACCAGAACGGUUCUGACUGUGAGGGACGAAAGCUAGGGGAGCAAAACGGAUUAGAUACCCGAGUAGUCCUAGCCGUAAACGCUGUGAGCAAGGUAUUGCGCCUCCUACGAGGAUGCGCAGUGUCGAAAUGAAGAUGUUAAGCUCACCACCAGGGAAGUACGGUCGCAAGGCUGAAACUUUAAGGAAUUGGCGGGGGAGCAC
RNAcentral lists this ribosomal RNA (553 nucleotides) under uncultured archaeon. RNAcentral's name for it is "bacterial SSU rRNA". It matches the Rfam family "Archaeal small subunit ribosomal RNA", at positions 325 to 879 of the family's 1478-position model. The record is from RNAcentral.